Molecule: long non-coding RNA, 5929 nt
Filed under: Equus caballus (horse)
Lineage: Eukaryota; Metazoa; Chordata; Mammalia; Perissodactyla; Equidae
Description: lncRNA (ENSECAG00000051953.1)
Source: RNAcentral
GCAAAAGCAACAGUGUUUGUGGUGAAUGUCAAAGAAGGAGCCCAGGCCCCGUGGCGGGGAUUGUUUCCUUGUGAGUAGGUUCCUAAAGGAGCAAUUCCUGGCUUCCGCGUCCUGAGCGUAAGGACUCGAGCUGCUCUGUCCGACGUCAUAAGGUGGAAGAUAGAACUUUGCAGGCUCGUUGACGGGAUGAGGGCCACCCUCGAAAAGAUCUGUUGCCACUCGGUUAAGAAAUCAGAAACAAGGAGCAGGAGAAAAAGCAAGACCCUGCAGCUGGAGUGGCUAGACACAGAACUGCCCUCCUCGGAAGUAUCAAAGGACCCAGCUCCUGGGGACGGCCCCCAAGGUCAGCUCUCGCCUCCAGUGCCCUUUCUCUUCCUUGAUUCUUCUUGAACCCCACUAAAGUGUUGAACUUCUCAGUUACCCUAUGAGUUAGGGAGGGAUAACCACCCCCACACCAGAGAUUGACAAGCUGGGAUGCAGAGAAAGAAGCAAGUUUCCCAGUAUCCUGCAGGCUGCAGAAUUUAUUUUCUGGGUUCCAGCGUUCUUCCGUCACCUUCCACGCCCUCCUCUGUCAUGGCCCACAGAGCCACAAGAGCUCCUUCAGACUGGUGUUUGGAGAGAAUGGCUUAUGGAUAUCAUCUUUAACUUUGCUAAAUCAUUAUUCUGAGAAGGGUCCACAGGCUUCAACAGAUGCCAAAGGGGUUCACGACACACACAAAAAAAAUGGGAAUUGUUAGGACAUUCAUCCAAAAGCCAUUUGUUAAGCACCGGUUGGAUGUGUGGACAAGGGAGAUAGAUGACUCUCAAAUUUCUGGCCUGAGUGUCGAAGUGGAGAAUUCUACUUUUCAGCAAGAAACAGAAUGUGUGUGAGGAGCGAGGGGAGAUCAAACUUGUGAGGGAAGGAAAUUGUUGAGCUUUGAACUUGACAAGCAGGGGCUGAAUGUGCGGUACACAAUAGUGAGGCUUCCAGAAGCCUGUAAAAAGGCCUCUUCUGCUUUAGUUAUCAACAAAUUAAAGUACGCUGUGUGGCGCGAUCUUUAUCAUCGCAGUUUUAAUCCUCCGACAAUUCCCCUGCAGUUGGGUAAGCAGAGCAACACCCUCUCUCAGUGCGGAGAGGUUGCACGCCUUCAAACAGCACUUUUCAAGAUGACCAUUUGGAAGCAACAUUUGGAGAACAUUUGGGUUAUGUCCUCUAACUGAAUUUCCAAGCUGUUGGUAACGGACUAAAGAAAAUGCAGUCUGUACUGAAUCCUAAGAAAGCAAGAGUGUGAGAGCCUUGAAGGUCAUGUGUAAAUAUUGACAUUUUAAUUUUCUUUAGCAUACCAAAGUGGGGCGCUUGUGUUGCUUAUCUUCCAUAAAAACUCACCCAUUUGCACUGCUCCCCAGAUUGUCGGGGGAGAGAUCUAAUCUGAGCAGCCGUGGGUGCUCUUCCUUGUCUUUGCUAACAAGGCUGAGUUUUGUUUGUGCAAAAUCUGAGUCAGAGGGGCGUUCCUCCCCUCUCGUCUCCACCACGGCCUGAUGCACCUGAUUAGAUAACAGAAAUCUGUGGGCUGAAUGUUCAUGUAGUAACAUGAAAGCCAAGAUGCAAAACAUUCAGGGAAAACAGCCUCCCACUCUCUCAGAGAGUCAAGUUAGGCUAUUUGGGGAACUAAUAACUGGCUAAUUUGGCCAGAACACCUUUCUAUGUGUCCUCAGAAGCAGCACGAGGAAGAAAUGCCAGCAUGUCCUCAGUCUCUGUACCCUUCUCACAAACCAGGACUCCACCUGCAUAGCUUAAUUUAAUCAGGGCCAAUUCUGAAGGUGAAAUGCAGGUGACAGCCCCAUCUCCCCGCCAACAGCAGUGGUUAGUGCUCCCCAGGCGCUUAACAACUUCGCCAAGACGCUUAGGGGCUGACCUACUGCAUUACUUUCCUACGCCAAAGCCAAGAGCCCCGCUUAUGGAGAACAGCCUGGCAGUUUGAUAACAUGCCAGAGGCUCCUGUCUCCCCACGGUGAGGUCACUGGAAUCAUUUCCCUCCUGAGACAUGGUCGAUUGAAACGCAGCUCUUGUGAAAUGAGGGGCCAGUGAGUGAAACAUGGAGAAAGCAGGGCCACCUCAAAUGGUCUUUGGCCUGAAAGGUUUUUCCUAAGUGAAAAGAAGAAAACUGAAUGUUGGAUCAAAACGAUCUUCCAGUGCUUCAUAACUCAAGCUCUCCGACUGACCUCAAAAAGGGGGAGAUGGCCCAAAAGACCAACAUCAUUGUCUGCUCUCUGCAUUUGAAUUUUGAAAGGUGCUCCUCAAACAUUAAUGAUCUAGCCUCUGUGCCCAAAUAAAUGUCAUGAUUUACUACUCACACUCUAGUUACAAAGCUAAUCACCCUUCCCUCCUCCAGCUCUGUAAGUCUUGGCCGGUUCAAUGAUUGAAAUACCUAGCGCAAGAGAUUAAAGGAACUCUCAAAGAUACAUUACUUUGUUUUGUGUUGAAGCAGUACUGAGUGGGCAGAGUGAGUCCCAUUCAAAAUUCCCAAAUGGGCAAAUUGUGUGCCUGUUGGCCCUUCCCUCCUCUCUCCGGGCUUUCCUCUCACCUCCUUAGCAAACCACCCCUUCAUCCCCACUGAUGAACUUCCAAGGUUCUUCCAGCUCUGUUGGUCCCUUUUAGCCACUGGAAAACAAAGCCAAUAACUAGCUUAGCAUAUUUGCCUGCGUGAAUUAAUUUUGUGUUUUGCUGAAACCCAGAGAAUUUCCAUUUUUAAGGGAAGGAAAGAAAGCCAAAGGAAGGAAUCUUUAGGGUGGAAUGUCAGACACCAUGACACCUGGAUAAAAUAUAAUUUGGGGCAGGGGACGAUAUUCUCAACAUCCCAAAAGUAGAAAAACCAGUCAAGUUCAGUACCCAUCAGGCAGACCUGGUAAAUUUCAGGACAGGGCCCUCCCCCACCCCCAACAUAUACACAACUUCCCACUGUGAUGUUCUAGGCAUAGUGUAUAAUAGCUCUACCUACCUACUCAGAGCCUAAUACUAAUUAGUUUUAAUUAACCUAAUACCUGAUGCCUGAAUACCUGAACUAAAUUAACAGAGUCUGGCUGUCCUGGUUAUUCCCAAGAUCCUCUUGCCUUCCCACCCCCACAAAAAAAUGGCCCAGUAGUUAAAAAAAAGUCCAGAAAUGAAUAAAGAGCAUGAUAGAGUUUCUUUAGAACAUCUAAGUUAAUGUUGCACAAUUCACUGUUUCUGUAAAGAGUUUGAUUCCCCUAGUUGGCCCUGAUUUGUUUCAGCCUAAAGUCUACGAUGCUUUCCUUCCGGUUUGGUCUCCUCCACAUAUUCGAACCUAUAGAGGUGAGUGGCGAGACUGAGAAGACUUGUUUUAUUCGAGUUUGUGAAAAUGAUAGCUUUUAUCAAGUUCGAUGUCAUAAGUUUUCUUCCACAAGACAGAAGAGUAUCCUUCCUGGUGAGCAAUAGUUCUUUAUUACAUAGAAAUCGUUCCUAAUUCUCAGCAGAUAGAGCAUUAGAGAAAACAGGUGUAUUCUCCCAAGUCACAAAGAAUAAUGUGAUGGUCAAUAUGAUUGACUGUUGUAAGCUUUCAUAGCUCAUUUCAGACUGAGAUCCUGAAAUACGGGAAAAGAUCAGUGCCUGCUGGCCAAGGGAGAUCAUUGUGCUGACCAAGGGAGACCAUUGCUGGAGGCAGAAAAUAAACCUCCCAAAAGGUGACCGGGACAACCAUCACUUUCAACAGUGUGUUAAAAGCAAUAAGAUAAAAGGAAUAGGAAACUUAGACUGUGCUUCCUGGAUUCACAAAACAUUCUCAAAAGAAGAGGUAAAUUUCCAUUUUCUGUGAAGUUUAAAAUCUACAAUUUUCUGGCAUCAUUGCCGGAUAUGUAGGAAAAAAAAUCUUUUUUUCGUCUGGUGUAGUGUAUCCCAAUCAGUGUGCACAUCAGGAACACCUGGAGAAUUACGUGGAGUUUUGUUUAUUUGUUUGCUUGUUUCCAAAAUACGUGGUAGCAAUCCACUACAAAAUUUGUACUGAAACUGAAUUUCAUAGUCUGAGGUCAAAGAAAUGUGUACUUUCAAAAAUUCCCCAAGUAAAUUCUGAGAUUGACUCCUAAUUCAACAACACAAAUAUAAACCCUUUAAUUCUACCUUUGAAAGUUGUGAUGACCAACUUUCAGAUUUAAAACCCAUACCUUCUUGACUUGGUAUGUGGGGACAAGGAAAGGAGAGAGUUUAAAUGCUGAAGACAACUUUGACAAGAGUGAACAUGAGGUUAACAAAUUUAGAACCCAAAAUAAAAGAAGGAGAGAACUGUCUUUCCUUGUCUUCUUUCACUCUGCUCUCUCUUGAUUCUCCUCUCGGUAUUGCUGCCAGGCCCUCUCCCUCUGCCUGCUCCAGAAAGGUUUUCUUCCCAUGGUCCUCUUACCCUGUCAGCCUAAGUACUAUCCUAGAUGACCUCAUCAAUCUCCUUGGCUCCAACCCCACAUACACUUGACUCCUGAAUUAGGCUGCGCAGGCUGCCAUAACAAAGUACCACACACUAGGUGCCUUAAACAAUAGACUUUUUAUUUUUUCAUGGUUCUUGAGGCUGGAAGUCCAAGACAAGAUAUUGGCAGGGUUGGUUUCUGGGGACUCUCUCCUUGGCUUAUAGAUAGCCAUCUUCUCUCUGUGCCUUCACAUGGUCUUCCUGCUGGGUGUAACUCUGAGUUCUAAUUUCCUCUUCUUAUAAGGACACCAGCCAUAUUGGAAUAGAGCCUACCUUGCUAACUUGAUUUUCAUUUAUUACCUCUUUUUAAGACUCUGUCUUCAAAUAGAGUCACAUUCUGAGGUGUUGGGGAUUAGAACUUCAACAUAUGAAUUUUGGGGGAAUACAAUUCAGCCCAUAACAACUCCAAAUUCUGUAACUCUAGAUCUACCUAAUGAGUGGUUCAUGAAGUUGAAGAACUCUCACAUGAAAACAAAGGGUAAGACAUCUGUGCUGCUUACGAUAUCAAAACAAGGACCAACGUGUGGAAGAUAAAGUUUGAAAUUUUCAGCCCAAUAUAAAAGAAGGAUUAUGUGACAAUAAGAAGGGUCUAGUUUUAUGGGCUGCUUCUCCUGACAAUAUGUCCCCACCACAGGAAGGGCACAGCAGAGGCUGGAUGGGUGCCUAUUAGGCCUGUCUUCAGGGAGAUACGGCAUGGGCCUCCAAGGUCCCUUUUCCUUCUUUAAUCUGAUGACUUUAGUGAAGGAACAUGAGCUCACAGGUGUUAAAUCAAGAUGAUCAAAAUAAAGUAGUAGCAGAGCUAAAAAGCAGAUGCAUACAUGUGUCUGUAAAUGCAGCACAAUCAGCCAGGAGAAAAACGAGUUUUUGGAACUCUUAGAUUCCUACCCUCCCUGGAGUAAUACAAUGGCAGCCAAGAUAGGGGUGUGAGUCGUUUCAAAAAUGCUAAGGCCUAGGGUAAAGCUGGCGGGUAAGAGUGGAGCUAGACCAACUCAGAAGUGUCUUUCCCAAGAUAAAAUUAUCAUUCAACAAGUGGAUGUCCAUGACAAUUCAAAUGGAAAUUUUUCAAAAGGAAUCACAAAGGUCAGAACCCAGUCGAUUUGACAUCAAUAAAUCUGCUCUAAGCAUCCACUUACAAGGGAUGUGCACAAAAGCCACUCAGGAGGCCAUCUGGUGGCUUGUGUCAGCAUCAAUGGGCCAGUUGUUGGAAGACCCUGACUCAGGAUCCAAUUCUUCUGUAUACUAGUCAGCUGACCUAAGGUAAGUCCUUGCCUUCUCGGAGCCUCAAUUUCCUUAUCUGAAAAAUAGGAAUAAUAUUACCUAUCCUGACACCAAGUUGUGAAAUUUGAUGAGAUCAUGUAAUUUAACUAUGAAUUUAACCAUGCAAUUUAAUUCAAUUCAACUAUGAAUUGUAAUGCCUUAUUCAAAUAUACGGUUUUAAUGUUAUUGCCGUUAUGUUUUUGUUCUUGCCCAAGGUAACUGCC